This is a long non-coding RNA of Hirundo rustica (Barn swallow), 1157 nucleotides long. RefSeq lists it as uncharacterized. The transcript is spliced from 4 exons. Lineage: Eukaryota; Metazoa; Chordata; Aves; Passeriformes; Hirundinidae. The record is from RefSeq and is a predicted model, not a curated record.
GUUGAUAUCCAGUGAUUGGUGAUUCCAGAGGCUUCAGCAGCCUUGUCAGUGGCUUCCUAGGGAAAGGAAUGAAGGCAGAGAUAGUCUCAGAUAGAUCCUAGAUAGAUCCAGGUUCCCACGUCCCAGUGCAGCCACCCACACAGCAGGCACUCACUUCUCCAGAGUGAAUGCUCACUUACAGCUAGGACUGACAGGGAGGCAGGAAUCACAGGGCAAAGCCAAAAUCCAAGUGCUGCAUGCACUGCUCGUCUACCUGGUUUCCAACUAAUAAUCCAUCACAUCCCAGUAGAGGGGAACAUCACCCAGGAGUGCAAAGCUGUUGGCGUAGCAGCCAUCUGAGACUGACUCUGAAAGAAAGUGGAAUAGGGGAACGGCAGCAUCCGAAGGACUGGCAGUGGAGAAAUGUGCACAGUGAGAGGUCUGAGGAUGUCAGGACCAGGAACUGGGUGACACAGACCUCCCAGAGUCCAGCAGCUGAAGCAAGUGAGAAGAACACGAACUCCCAGCCAUUCAGGCCUGACAGUUUCCUGCAGUGAGAGCUCAGCACACAUCCACAGAAGCAACUCCAGUAUCUGAAAGAGAAAAAAGAAAGACCAAGCCAGAAGAAAAAGGUUGCCGAGACUUCUUUGGGGAACCGUACCGAUUCAAAGCCUCGUUUGAAAGCAGCAGAAGCAGAGACAAGCUUUCAGGAGUUGCACAGCCCUCCAUGGACUAAACCUGAAGAUAAAAAACCACCUGAAAAAAAGGAGAAAAAAUACAAUGAAUCAGUUAGUACAGCAGGAAAAAAACCUCUAAAUGCCACUAAUCGACACUGCAAAAUGCCAAUGGCUUCCAUCCUCACGUUCCGUUAGCACAAAGGCAUGAAAUGUCCCGGGUUUCUAAAGCAUGCAUUUUUCACUGUUUUAUCAACGUCUGGAAACGAGUCUAGAACAGGCCGAUUAGUACCUUACAGCAAGAAUCCAGAAUGGAUGUUUGAAGAAAUGCUUUGGAAUGCAGUCCGGGUUUGGAACUCUUGUUCUACCUUAUCAGUAAUUGUAUACUAUCAAUUACCUGCUUUGUAAGCAGCAGUCAUUCUCAAGUAUUUUCUCAGUCUGUUUUAUUUCAUGUCAUUUUGUGGCAGAUUGGGUUUUAAGAUUAAGGGGCAGUCAGUGUGUGUG